This 584-nucleotide ribosomal RNA is filed under the name uncultured bacterium. RNAcentral's name for it is "partial 16S ribosomal RNA". It matches the Rfam family "Bacterial small subunit ribosomal RNA", at positions 355 to 932 of the family's 1533-position model. The record is from RNAcentral.
UGGGGAAUCUUCCGCAAUGGACGAAAGUCUGACGGAGCAACGCCGCGUGAGUGAAGAAGGUUUUCGGAUCGUAAAACUCUGUCUUUUGGGGCGAACGUGAGUAUGGUGAACAAUCAUAGUCAGUGACGGUACCAAAGGAGGAAGCCACGGCUAACUACGUGCCAGCAGCCGCGGUAAUACGUAGGUGGCAAGCGUUGUCCGGAAUUAUUGGGCGUAAAGAGCGCGUAGGCGGGAUAGUCAGUCUGUUGUAAAGUGCGGGGCUCAACCCCGUGAUCGCAAUGGAAACAGCUAUUCUUGAGUGCAGGAGAGGAAAGUGGAAUUCCCAGUGUAGUGGUGAAAUGCGUAGAUAUUGGGAGGAACACCAGUGGCGAAGGCGACUUUCUGGACUGUGUCUGACGCUGAGGCGCGAAAGCCAGGGGAGCGAACGGGAUUAGAUACCCCCGGUAGUCCUGGCCGUAAACGAUGGGUACUAGGUGUGGGAGGUAUCGACCCCCUUUCCGUGCCGGAGUUAACGCAAUAAGUACCCCGCCUGGGGAGUACGGUCGCAAGACUGAAACUCAAAGGAAUUGACGGGGUCAUAGCUG